RNAcentral lists this long non-coding RNA (613 nucleotides) under Scleropages formosus (Asian bonytongue). RNAcentral's name for it is "lncRNA (ENSSFOG00015029874.1)". Lineage: Eukaryota; Metazoa; Chordata; Actinopteri; Osteoglossiformes; Osteoglossidae. The record is from RNAcentral.
UCAAGAGCGGCGAUUCAAACCUUCAAGUCGAGCUGCGUUAGAAUGCGCAGGACUGUUCUUGACGGACGUUAGAAAAAUACUGCAAAUUAAGCGCAUAAAUACAUAGACAGAAACAGACACACACACCGCAGACGUGCAGCGCUGAACAUUCGGUUUGCAGGCCCCCGUAGAAGAGCCGGAGCCCUGCGGCGCAGUGAAAAAUGACCGGCGACGUCGCGUGUCCGGCGGCUGAGGCGGCGCCCCGGCGGCGCAGCGAAAGUGGACACAAGGACACCCCGAAGGCCCCGGUUCUGUGUCUCAAAGGUAACGAGCAGAGGGCGUCUCAGGAUGACGAUGGCUACUCCACCAGGAACUUCAGCUUUGCAGAGGCUGAAAGCUCAGAUUCCCACUGCGACAUCCUGGAGGAGCACCUUUCUGCCGUGGAGGUGAACUGCAGUUUCUCGGCCAGUGAGCUGGCCUCCCUGUGCCACCAGAGUGUGGUGGUAACAGGCAGCCUGGAGCAGCAGGUCCACACAGAGAGCUUGGAAAGGGCAGCUCCCCUGGAACAGAGGGUGGCUGAGCUGGAGAAGCAUCUGGAAGCUGGAGCACAUACCCAUCUGCAGGAGUUCCAGGA